Molecule: ribosomal RNA, 253 nt
Filed under: uncultured bacterium
Lineage: Bacteria
Description: partial 16S ribosomal RNA
Rfam family: Bacterial small subunit ribosomal RNA
Source: RNAcentral
UACGUAGGGUGCGAGCGUUAAUCGGAAUUACUGGGCGUAAAGUGUGCGCAGGCGGCUUCGCAAGUCGAGUGUGAAAUCCCCGAGCUUAACUUGGGAAUUGCACUCGAAACUACGGAGCUGGAGUGUGGCAGAGGAAGGUGGAAUUCCACGUGUAGCGGUGAAAUGCGUAGAGAUGUGGAGGAACACCGAUGGCGAAGGCAGCCUUCUGGGCCAACACUGACGCUCAUGCACGAAAGCGUGGGGAGCAAACAGG